GUCUCGCGGGCGGCGGCAGGUGAGCGGCGGGCGGGGAUGGCGGAGCAAUGGGAGCUGGACGAGGAAGGCAUCCGCCGCCUGGGGGCGCUGACGCUGGAGCAGCCGGAACUGGUGGAGUCUCUUUCAUUGCAGGGAUCUUAUGCUGGCAAAAUCCAUUCCAUUGGUGAUGCCUUCAGAAAUUUUAAAAAUCUCCGAUCCUUAGAUUUAUCAAGGAAUUUGAUCACUAGCCUUAAGGGAAUCCAGUAUUUAUGUUCACUCCAAGACCUGAAUUUAUAUUAUAACAACAUUCCUUCAUUAGUGGAAGUGUCCCGUCUACAACCGUUACCCUUCCUCAAAGAACUGGAUUUGAGACUUAAUCCUGUUGUAAGGAAGGAUACAGAUUAUAGGCUCUUUGCUGUAUAUACACUACAAACUCUGGAGAAAUUAGAUGACCGAACUGUACGUGAAGGUGAGAGAAAAGCUGCCAAGCUGCAUUUUAGUCAGUUGGGCAACAGUGAAAAUUUUCUUUUAGAGGUGGAAAAAAGCUCUAGGGAGAAGACAAUGAAAAACUGUGUAACAGGUGAGAGCUCUGCAUCAAAAGUCAGUGCUAAUGUUGACAGCAGGAUUGAAAUGGACUCAAACAAAGGACUUUUUAUUCCCUUCCCCAACCGGGAAAUAAAGGAUUCCCUAAGUACUUCUGCAACUCAGGGCAAUGGUACACCUGAUCAGAAAUUAGACACCUUCCCACUGGGGACACAGACACAGGAAGUAGCAAGAAGGGAAAUGCCAAGUGACAAUCACCAGGAAGAUGAGUUCAGACACUACUCGCCUCGUCAGUCCACAGUCCGAUCCCCAGAGAAGAUGACUAGAGAAGGGUACCAAGUAUCUUUUUUGGACAAUAAGUCUUCAGGUUCUUCUCCAGAAAAGGAAUUGAUACCAAAACCUGAUACUUUUCAUCUUACCCAUGAUGCCUCAUUGAGUAAAUGCCUGGAUGUGGGUGAUUCUAGCCAGAUCCAUCCCUAUCAGUUACCUUCAGAUGUUGGUCUGGAAAAUUAUGACAGUUGUUAUUCUCAAACUCUAUCCCUGCAUGGAAGUCUUGGUAAAAGGCCUCAGAGAAGCAAGAACUAUCAAGAGUAUAGCAUAAAGCCUUCAAAUGACAUAAAGACCACCGCUUCACAUUCCUGUGGAGACCUAUUAACUUCUCUGUCAAACCCUGACUCCAGCACUGGAAGGCUUUUGAAGCUUAGUUCAGAUCUGUAUGCCACAACCCAUUUCAACAGUGACCCUGCUGUACUUGUCAAUGUAGAGCAACAAUUAUCUACCAGCCUGGGUGAUUUGACACCAGCACAUGGUUCUGUCCCAAACAACGCUGUCCUGGGAAACAGGACAACUCCUCUGCGGACACUGCUGUUGUCUCCUGGGACUUCAGAACACAGAAAGAUUUUUACCAAGAGGUCACUAAGCCCAUCGAAGAGAGGAUUCAAAUGGAAGGACAAUAUCCUUGCCAACCUGAAUCUAAAGCAUGGUUUCCGAGAUGCUACAGGCAGCGAGCCUCUCUCUAGUGACCUGGGUAGUUUGCACGGUUUGCCUGGAAACCACAGUCCCCCCAUCUCUGCCAGAACCCCCCAUGUGGCCACUGUCCUCAGACAGCUCCUGGAGCUUGUGGAUAAGCACUGGAAUGGCUCCGGCUCCCUCCUCCUCAACAAGAAGUUUCUCGGUCCUGCCCGAGAUUUGCUUCUGUCUUUGGUAGUCCCGGCUCCUUCUCAGCCGAGGUGUUGCUCACAUCCUGAAGACACGAUGAAAGCGUUCUGCAGGAGGGAGCUUGAACUGAAGGAGGCUGCGCAGCUGGUCCCUAAUGACAUGGAAAGUUUGAAGCAAAAACUGGUCAGAGUGCUGGAGGAAAACCUCAUUUUGUCAGAAAAAAUUCAACAGUUGGAGGAAGGUGCUGCCAUCUCAAUUGUGAGUGGGCAACAGUCACAUAUUUAUGAUGUUUUCACAUACUACGUAGGGAGUGAAGGAUGUACAAAACAAACUAAAAUGGAGAAUACGGUGUGAGACCCAAUAUCUAUUGACUGCCUAUGCUAAGUGAGGAUGAUCUUCUGCACAAAAACCAACAGCUGACCAUGCAGGUGGCUUGCCUGAACCAGGAGCUUGCCCAGCUGAAAAAGCUGGAGGAGACAGUUGCCAUUCUCCAUGAAAGUCAGAGAUCCCUGGUGGUAACUAAUGAGUAUCUGCUGCAGCAGCUGAAUAAGGAGCCAAAAGGUUAUUCCGGGAAAGCACUCCUGCCUCCUGAGAAGGGUCAUCAUCUGGGGAGAUCAUCGCCCUUUGGGAAAAGCACGUUGUCUUCCUCCUCACCAGUGGCACAUGACACUGGUCAGUAUCUAAUACAGAGCAUCUUGGAUGCUGCCCCAGAGCCUGGCUUAUGAGAGCUAGCAUGGAACUCACACCACAGCUUCCCUGGUCCACAGAGGCUCUCACCGCCAUUGCCACCAGUAUGGUGGUAUGUACUCACAAAGAUUAAGAAAGAAAUGUAUUCUGA
Molecule: RNA transcript, 2518 nt
Organism: Pan troglodytes (chimpanzee)
Lineage: Eukaryota; Metazoa; Chordata; Mammalia; Primates; Hominidae
Gene: LRRC36
Gene name: leucine rich repeat containing 36
Exons: 15
Source: RefSeq, a predicted model, not a curated record